GUGAACGCUGGCGGUAGGCCUCACACCUGCAAGUCGAACGGCAGCACAGUAAGAGCUUGCUCUUACGGGUGGCGAGUGGCGGACGGGUGAGGAAUACAUCGGAAUCUACUUUUUCGUGGGGGAUAACGUAGGGAAACUUACGCUAAUACCGCAUACGACCUACGGGUGAAAGCAGGGGAUCUUCGGACCUUGCGCGAUUGAAUGAGCCGAUGUCGGAUUAGCUAGUUGGCGGGGUAAAGGCCCACCAAGGCGACGACCCGUAGCUGGUCUGAGAGGAUGAUCAGCCACACUGGAACUGAGACACGGUCCAGACUCCUACGGGAGGCAGCAGUGGGGAAUAUUGGACAAUGGGCGCAAGCCUGAUCCAGCCAUACCGCGUGGGUGAAGAAGGCCUUCGGGUUGUAAAGCCCUUUUGUUGGGAAAGAAAAGCAGCAGGUUAAUACCCCGCUGUUCUGACGGUACCCAAAGAAUAAGCACCGGCUAACUUCGUG
RNAcentral lists this ribosomal RNA (491 nucleotides) under uncultured bacterium. RNAcentral's name for it is "partial 16S ribosomal RNA". It matches the Rfam family "Bacterial small subunit ribosomal RNA", at positions 29 to 507 of the family's 1533-position model. The record is from RNAcentral.